GUGAGUCAUCGAAUCUUUGAACGCACCUUGCGCUCCUUGGUAUUCCGAGGAGCAUGCCUGUUUGAGUGUCGUGAAAUACUCAAUUUCAAUUUUGAAAUUGGAUUUGGGUGCUGUUGUGGACAUUCUACAACUCAUCCUAAAUGCAUUAGCGAUCUGCCUCUGAUCACAUGCAAUGUGAUAAGAAAAAAAGCAUUGUAAGGAUCGGGGUUUAAUAUUUGCUUCUAACCGUCGAAAGACAAAGCGCAUAUAUAUGUCAUUUGACCUCAAAUCAGGUAGGACUACCCGCUGAACUUAAGCAUA
This 300-nucleotide unclassified non-coding RNA is filed under the name uncultured Geastrum. RNAcentral describes it as "sequence contains 5.8S rRNA gene, ITS2". The stretch from base 1 to 71 matches the Rfam family "5.8S ribosomal RNA", at positions 84 to 154 of the family's 154-position model. Lineage: Eukaryota; Fungi; Basidiomycota; Agaricomycetes; Geastrales; Geastraceae. The record is from RNAcentral.